RNAcentral lists this ribosomal RNA (253 nucleotides) under uncultured bacterium. RNAcentral describes it as "partial 16S ribosomal RNA". It matches the Rfam family "Bacterial small subunit ribosomal RNA", at positions 524 to 776 of the family's 1533-position model. The record is from RNAcentral.
UACGGGGGGGGCAAGCGUUGUUCGGAAUUACUGGGCGUAAAGGGUUCGUAGGUGGCCUGCUAAGUCAGACGUGAAAUCCCUCAGCUUAACUGGGGAACUGCGUCUGAGACUGGUGGGCUUGAGUGCAGGAGAGGAACGCGGAAUUCCAGGUGUAGCGGUGAAAUGCGUAGAUAUCUGGAGGAACACCGGUGGCGAAGGCGGUGCUCUGGGCCAGUAUUGACGCUGAGGAGCGAAAGCGUGGGUAGCAAACAGG